RNAcentral lists this ribosomal RNA (436 nucleotides) under Tmarus holmbergi. RNAcentral's name for it is "partial 16S ribosomal RNA". The record is from RNAcentral. Lineage: Eukaryota; Metazoa; Arthropoda; Arachnida; Araneae; Thomisidae.
AUUAUUAGAAAAUUAUUAAUAGUAAAAGCCGCUCAAUGUCAAAAUUAAUAGCCGCAAGUCGUGCUAAGGUAGAAUAACCAUUUGUCUUUUAUUUAAAGGCCAAAACAAAAGAUUCAACAUUUAAAUAAAUAUUUAUAGUUUAUUUAUCUAAAUUAUUUUUGAUGUAAAGCGACAUUAAUUCAUAAAAAAGGCGAUAAGACCCUAUUGAACUUUACUUUAGUUUAACUGGGGCAGUUAAUAAAUAUUAUUUUAAUUUAAUAUUAAUUUAAAAUGACCUAAUAUAAUUAAUUCAAUGAUUAAGUUACCAUAGGGAUAACAGUGUAAUAUUAUUUUAAAGAUCUUAUUAAAAAUAAUGAUUGCAACCUCGACGUUGACUAACAUUCUUAAUUAUGCAUUAAUAAUUAAAGAAAGUCUGUUCGACUUUUAAACAGUUACA